Molecule: long non-coding RNA, 1043 nt
Organism: Carassius auratus (goldfish)
Lineage: Eukaryota; Metazoa; Chordata; Actinopteri; Cypriniformes; Cyprinidae
Exons: 3
Source: RefSeq, a predicted model, not a curated record
AAUGCAGCACUGUUGUGUUUCCUCCUACAGUACUUUCAAAUCACAUCAUCAAAAGUCAUUAUCGUUCAGAGAUUACUAGAAUGAAGGAGGACUGUAAAAUAAGACUUGAUGAUUUGAAAAUGAGAAGCUAAAAACUUUUGGAUUUUUGGAGAUGAUUUGGACAGGAUUGAAAAUAAAUAAAUGGACUACUAUUUUGAAUCAAGAAAAGACAACCAGAACACACAACCUAGGAAUUUUGGAGGGUCAAACUUGCUGCAAAUUUUCUAAAGAUGCAAUGCAAGACGCUGCAGCUGAUGAGCUGUCAUCUAGUCAAGCUCAGAUUUCCAUCCAAUGUGAGGAGAACUCUGAGGGUCAAGAUGGAAUAGUUCUCUUUGACACGGAAGACUUUCCUUUAGUCAACAUCCACUGUCCGACCAGUGCAGGAGAUCUUCCUGAAGAUUAAUAUAAACAGCAGUAGAGCUCUGCAGAUCUCGUAAUCAGUUAUUCGUGGGUUUUAGCUUCAGAAUGCUAUUGUAACUUAAGAGUUUAUGCAUAUUGGUGUGGAUUAACCAUUACAGAAACAUAAAAUGAUCUAAUAAAUUCGUUGUGUCCCUAAUGUCUUGUGUCUCUAAUAAGAUCGGUCACAAACAUGAUCCCUGAACAAUCUAAUCUGUUACGUCUUAUUACAUCACUGUCAUACAUUGUCUGUAACACAUUUCUUCUCCAUCUUCAUCUUUCAGUCAUUUUCUCCUAAAGAAACUUUUAAGCCUCUUGAACAUGUCCAGAAUUCUCUGCACAGCCAUAUGUAAUCCAGCACUGAGAAUGCACUAAUUCAUGCAACCCCGUUUGAAGCAACCAUACAAAUAAUUUCAAUUAUGUUUGAUGUUUAACAAGUUGUCUACAUGACGCAAGGAGUGACUCAUUAAACAUGUAAACAAAGUUGUUGUUAUUGAAUAAGUCACCUAUUCUGUCUCCUAAACUCCUGAAACUCCUGGUGUAUCGUAUUUUAAAGCAGUCAAUGCAAUUUGGGAAAGAAAUCAAUAAAAUCUGUAUGUGUGCGAAAA